Molecule: ribosomal RNA, 941 nt
Filed under: Parasola misera
Lineage: Eukaryota; Fungi; Basidiomycota; Agaricomycetes; Agaricales; Psathyrellaceae
Description: partial large subunit ribosomal RNA
Rfam family: Eukaryotic large subunit ribosomal RNA
Source: RNAcentral
UGCAUAUCAAUAAGCGGAGGAAAAGAAACUAACAAGGAUUCCCCUAGUAACUGCGAGUGAAGAGGGAAAAGCUCAAAUUUAAAAUCUGGCAGCCUUUGGUUGUCCGAGUUGUAAUCUAGAGAAGUGUUACCCGCGCCGGACCGUGUAUAAGUCUCCUGGAAUGGAGCGUCAUAGAGGGUGAGAAUCCCGUCUUCGACACGGAUCCCCGGGGCUUUGUGGUGCGCUCUCAAAGAGUCGAGUUGUUUGGGAAUGCAGCUCAAAAUGGGUGGUAAAUUCCAUCUAAAGCUAAAUAUUGGCGAGAGACCGAUAGCGAACAAGUACCGUGAGGGAAAGAUGAAAAGAACUUUGGAAAGAGAGUUAAACAGUACGUGAAAUUGCUGAAAGGGAAACGCUUGAAGUCAGUCGCGUCGUCUGGAAAUCAACCUUGCUUUUGUUGGGUGUACUUUCCAGUUGACGGGCCAGCAUCAGUUUUGACCGGUGGAAAAAGUCUAGAGGAAUGUGGCACCUUCGGGUGUGUUAUAGCCUCUGGUCGUAUACAUCGGUUGGGACUGAGGAACUCAGCACGCCGCAAGGCCGGUCUUCGGACACGUUCGUGCUUAGGAUGCUGGCAUAAUGGCUUUAAUCGACCCGUCUUGAAACACGGACCAAGGAGUCUAACAUGCCUGCGAGUAUUUGGGUGGAAAACCCGAGUGCGCAAUGAAAGUGAAAGUCGAGAUUUUUGUCAUGGAAAGCAUCGACGCCCGGACCAGACGUUUUCUGACGGUUCCGCGGUAGAGCAUGUAUGUUGGGACCCGAAAGAUGGUGAACUAUGCCUGAAUAGGGUGAAGCCAGAGGGAAACUCUGGUGGAGGCUCGUAGCGAUUCUGACGUGCAAAUCGAUCGUCAAAUUUGGGUAUAGGGGCGAAAGACUAAUCGAACCCAUCUAGUAGCUGGGUUCCUGCG